RNAcentral lists this ribosomal RNA (253 nucleotides) under uncultured bacterium. RNAcentral's name for it is "partial 16S ribosomal RNA". It matches the Rfam family "Bacterial small subunit ribosomal RNA", at positions 524 to 776 of the family's 1533-position model. The record is from RNAcentral.
UACAGAGGGUGCGAGCGUUAAUCGGAAUUAUUGGGCGUAAAGCGCAUGUAGGUGGUUUAGAAAGUUUGAUGUGAAAUCCCUGGGCUUAACCUGGGAAUUGCGUUAAAGACUCUUAGACUGGAGUGGGAUAGAGGGUAGUGGAAUUUCCGGUGUAGCGGUGAAAUGCGUAGAGAUCGGAAAGAACAUCGGUGGCGAAGGCGGCUACCUGGGUCCCAACUGACACUGAGGUGCGAAAGCGUGGGGAGCAAACAGG